CAUGCAAGUCGAACGCGAAAGAGUUCUUCGGAACUUGAGUAGAGUGGCGCACGGGUGAGUAACGCGUAAAUAAUCUACCCUGAUGUUUGGGAUAACCAGCCGAAAGGCUGACUAAUACCGGAUACAUGAUUAGCUGUUGGGCUANUCAGGAAAGGUGGCCUCUUCUUGAAAGCUUCCGCAUUGGGAUGAGUUUGCGUACCAUUAGCUAGUUGGUGGGGUAAAGGCUCACCAAGGCAACGAUGGUUAGCGGGUCUGAGAGGAUGAUCCGUCACACUGGCACUGGAACACGGGCCAGACUCCUACGGGAGGCAGCAGUGAGGAAUAUUGCGCAAUGGGGGAAACCCUGACGCAGCGACGCCGCGUGAGUGAGGAAGGCCUUCGGGUCGUAAAGCUCUGUCAGCAGGGAANAAGUGUUAUACGGUUAAUACCCGUAUAAUUUGACGGUACCUGCNNNNGAAGCACCNGCUAACUCCGUGCCANCAGCCNCGGUAAUACGGAGGGUGCAANCGUUGUUNNNAUCACNGGGGCGUAAAGGGCGCGCAGGCGGUCUUAUUAGUCNNNNGUGAAAGCCCANNCUUAACCCGUGGGAAGUGCAUUUGAAACUGUAAACUUNANUAUCNANG
This 623-nucleotide ribosomal RNA is filed under the name uncultured bacterium. RNAcentral describes it as "partial 16S ribosomal RNA". It matches the Rfam family "Bacterial small subunit ribosomal RNA", at positions 54 to 654 of the family's 1533-position model. The record is from RNAcentral.